Molecule: non-coding RNA, 947 nt
Organism: Camellia sinensis
Lineage: Eukaryota; Viridiplantae; Streptophyta; Magnoliopsida; Ericales; Theaceae
Source: RefSeq, a predicted model, not a curated record
UGGGCCUUGUGGAGAAAGACUCAACAAAGAAAGGAAAAGAAAAAAAAUCUAGAGAGAGAGAGAGAGCUAAAACAUCCAUGGAAUUUGAAGAUGAAAUUGAAGAAGAAGCAUGGGAAAUUGAAAGACUUGGAGUUGAAUUCAAGAGAUUGACUCAAGGUCAAGACGAGGACAAUGCCCAACUACUACUAGAAGCCCAUCACUGUCAAGACGAGGACAAUGCCCAACCACUACCGGAAGCCCAUCACUGUGAGUAAUAAUAUUGUAAAGAUAUGUUCAUUUAUAUUUAUUUUAAUAUGUAAAUGUUGCGAUGUUCUGGAAUUAUGUUUUAUACGAAUGAAUGAGUUACAAGACCUAUGAUAUGGAAUAUGGAUAUGAAAUGUGAAUUAUUUAUAAUAUGAUAUAUGAUUGAGUCCAAGGCCGUUUUGAUAUAUGAUUGGGCCCAAUGCCGUUUUGAUAUUCGAUUGGGCCUGAAGCCGUUUUGAUAUUCGAUUGGGCCCGAGGCCGUUUUGUUAUAUGGUGGGCCUGAGGCCAUUUUGUAAAUAUGAUUAUGAAUAAUGUUGUGAAUGAUGUAGAUGUGGAAGAGUAUGGUGUUAUGCUUCUUUUGAAUCUAGAUUAUUUACUUGAUUUACUUCACUUUAUUAUUACUCAUUGAGCUUCGCUCACUCCGUAUUUUAUCUGUAUGUAGGUGAUCAAUUUAGAGACCAUCCUUAGGUCAGCCUCAGGAGUUUUUUUUUUUAACCUGCUAAGUCAAGCCACCCAAUAUGCGCCUCUAUGUUGAGGCUCUAACCUUGUAUUGUUAGAAUUUUGUAUUUACUUAAGUUUUAUGUAUAUGCGUGUGAGAUAUAUACACAUGUGUAUACUAGUGUGUUUACAUUAUUUUAAUUAUUUCAAUCAUUAUGUAUGCACAAGCUCAAUGGACAUUACUAUUUGAUUUGCUUCCGCUUUAA